RNAcentral lists this transfer RNA (74 nucleotides) under candidate division Zixibacteria bacterium 4484_93. RNAcentral describes it as "tRNA-Val". It matches the Rfam family "tRNA". Rfam says of the family: Transfer RNA (tRNA) molecules are approximately 80 nucleotides in length. Their secondary structure includes four short double-helical elements and three loops (D, anti-codon, and T loops). Lineage: Bacteria; Pseudomonadati; Candidatus Zixiibacteriota. The record is from RNAcentral. RNAcentral also lists the same sequence under 1 other name.
GGGCGAUUAGCUCAGUUGGUUGGAGCACUUGUUUCACAUACAAGAGGUCACUGGUUCGAGUCCAGUAUCGCCCA